Molecule: ribosomal RNA, 253 nt
Filed under: uncultured bacterium
Lineage: Bacteria
Description: partial 16S ribosomal RNA
Rfam family: Bacterial small subunit ribosomal RNA
Source: RNAcentral
UACAGAGGGUGCGAGCGUUAAUCGGAGUAACUGGGCGUAAAGGGCACGUAGGCGGUUAUAUUAGUCUGAUGUGAAAGACCUUGGCUUAACCUGGGAUGUGCAUUGGAAACGGUAUGGCCAGAGUAUGGGAGAGGGAAGUGGAAUUUCCGGUGUAGCGGUGAAAUGCGUAGAGAUCGGAAAGAUCACUCGUGGCGAAGGCGGCUUUCUGGCCCAAAACUGUCGCUGAGGUGCGAAAGCGUGGGGAGCAAACAGG